Musa acuminata AAA Group (dessert banana) is the source of this 1929-nucleotide RNA transcript. It is a transcript of the gene named short-chain dehydrogenase/reductase SDRA-like, with no coding region annotated. The transcript has 5 exons. The record is from RefSeq and is a predicted model, not a curated record. Lineage: Eukaryota; Viridiplantae; Streptophyta; Magnoliopsida; Zingiberales; Musaceae.
UACGAACGUAUUAAAAAAAAAUCAAUUGAAUAUUUUUUCACUCUUUUUAUUUUUUUUAUUUGACCGAUAAGAAUAAGAUUACGAAAUUAUCUUUUAAUUCUAUUUUAGCGUCUGUUCUUUUUCACUCGAGUGGGUAAUUACGGUGCUUAGGAUAUGUAUUCAAGGCGUUGCGGACAAAGGAGUCAUCUUCUUUCACCAUAAACGUCGAUACGCCUGUCCCUCCUCCUCGUUCGCUCGCCGACUGGAGCGAGAUGGAGGGGAAGGGAUCGGAUUCGCUGUCGCCUAGCGAUUGGGCCUCGAAGGCGCUGCCGUCGUCGUCUCCUCCCGCAAGCAGAGGAACGUCGAUGAGGCGGUGGAGAAGCUGAUGUCGAAGGGAAUCGAGGUGAUGGGGGUGGUCUGCCACGUUUCGAAUCCCCAUCACCGGCACGAUCUCAUCGAGAAGACCGUCCAGGUGAGCGCUUCUCCUCCUAAGAAACGAAGUACAAGGAAGAGAAAGCUUGAAGAUGCAAUAAAGUUUUGUAGAUUGGACAAAAGUAGAGAAGAGAGAAAGAGACAGAGAAUAAUUUCGGGAAAAGGCGCCAAAAAUUCUUUGAUGUUGAUGAACAACACCGUCAUGCAAAAUUCAGAGCUGUCACUGCCAGACACUUUGGCGCCUUAGGCUUUUACCUUGCUUAAGACACUCAUGAGCAAAUAAGACAGGCCUUAGAACAGCAGCAUGAUCCUUUUUCUAAUCUGAUCAGCUGACCACCAACAACUAUGGAACUUUCCAGAUUCUUGGACUGAACCAACUUAGACAGGAUGUUGUUAGCCAUCAACAGAGAAUUGAUGAAUUUGAUGGGAUUUGUGGUUUUAAUUGCUGAUCCAUGCACACUUUUAUUUGCAAUGGAGAACCCCUCUGAAUUGCUUUUGUUGCCUCUCUCAUUAGCUCGGUGUCAUUUGUCUAGAAUAUGCUUUGGAGUGUAGCAUCCUGAUGCACCCAGGAGGCGAGAGGAAUCCAGCAGAUGGAGGCCAAGAUCAAAUCAAAUUGGACAAAAGAAGAGGGUGGUGUUUGUCAAGUCAAUGCCUGGUUUUGUAUCAUUAGAAAUAUGGUCACAUAGGCAUAGUUGUGUCGAAUGCUGCUGCUAAUCCAUCAGUGGAUAACAUUCUGGAUACCAGAGCGUCAGUGCUUGAUAAACUUUGGGAGAUCAGUGUGAAUUUCUCAGUUCUUAUUCUGCAGAUAAUUUAUAUGCUAAUGGGGUUUCACUUAGCCUUAUUUGAGAAUAUUAACUUCAUGUCUUUUGCAAGCUGCUGCAUCUUACUUGAAGAUGGGAUCAUCCGGCAUCCUUAUAUCUUCAAUUGCAGGUUAUCUUCCGCAGUCAUCCAUGGCCAUGUAUGGUGUCACAAAGACUGCUCUUCUCGAGCUUACUAAGGCUCUUGCUGCUGAGAUGAGUGAACUGUAUAGCUCCUGGAUUUGUGCCCACACAUUUUGCUGAUUUUAUCACGAAAAUGAUGCCAUCAGAAAAACCAGAGAGGAGAAGACUUUGCUUAAGAGGCCCGGGUCUACAGAAGACAUGGCUUCUGCCGCAGCCUUUCUGGCAUCUGAUGAUUCAUCCAACAUUCCUGGAGAAACACUUGUGGUUGCCGGAGGGAUGCCUUCCAGGCUAUAAUCCAUUCCCAGACUUCACCCUGUGAUGAUCAUUUGUUGCUGCUGCCAACACAUGCCGAGUCUCAAGAACAUCAUUUUGUAGGCAGAGCAGAGUUAGACAAGCUGUAAUAAAUCAUUCAACCAUCUGAAGUUGGAGAUAUUGAAUUUAUUUUGUGCCUGCUUAGUGAAAUUGAGUUGUGUUUACCAUCAAAUGCUGUGGUCAAACAUAACUGUAACCUUUUUUUGGGAAAAAAACGUCGAAGCCAAUAGCUUCUUAUGAGAAUUCACCUUAUUUUAAUCAUUGA